Molecule: non-coding RNA, 478 nt
Organism: Pelobates cultripes (western spadefoot toad)
Lineage: Eukaryota; Metazoa; Chordata; Amphibia; Anura; Pelobatidae
Source: the annotation of a GenBank genome assembly
CCAGCAUCUGACAUCGUCACAGGGGGCCCGGUAGCGUUGUUAAAGCACUCCAGCGCUGACCGGGCCCCCUGAAAAUACUUUGCCAUCAGGCGGUCCAUGGUCCCCUGAACGCUUGGCCCCAGUUGUUGUACUGCGCGGAUAGGACCCGCACCACAUGGCCGGCAGGCACCCCGGUCACAGGGGUCCACAGGGCAGCCAGCCCUGUCGAAGCAGCGACCCCUGCGACCGCAGUAGUUUUGCCACUAAGGGCUCCAUAUUUCAAAUCCAAUACUAGUCAGGCCUAGAAGUUAAGCGCCACUGCAAGCUUGGUGGGCACACUCAUCGGGGUGAAUUUUCACUCACCAAAGGCUAGUGGGCAGGUAAGAAUUCUGAGCACAUAGCAAAACUCUCAGUUACAAACAUAGAAAAGACCAGAAAACACACAGAGAAUUCUUUAUACAUCUAAACACUGCUUUUUCACCUCCUCCUUUCAUGCCCA